GUCCCUGUAGCGCAAUGAAUAGCGCGUUGGGCUUAUAAUCCAGAGGUUGUGGGUUCGAAUCCCACCUGGGAUG
RNAcentral lists this transfer RNA (73 nucleotides) under Trichonephila inaurata madagascariensis. It matches the Rfam family "tRNA". From Rfam's summary of the family: Transfer RNA (tRNA) molecules are approximately 80 nucleotides in length. Their secondary structure includes four short double-helical elements and three loops (D, anti-codon, and T loops). The record is from Rfam by way of RNAcentral. Lineage: Eukaryota; Metazoa; Arthropoda; Arachnida; Araneae; Nephilidae.